UUAGAUGCAACUGUGGUCGCAAUGGUUGAAACUUCAUCUGACAUCAAAGAAAAUGCAUCGGUGACGAAACAGCAACUCGUGAAUGAAGUCCGCGUUCUUAAAGAUCAGUUAAACGUUCCUACAAUCUAUUUCCUUGCACGCCUUACUUCUGAUACAACCAUACCUACUCACCAGGCUGUAAUCUUCCCGCAUGUGGAGGUCAACGAAGGUCAAGGUUAUGAUCCUGCUACUGGAAAGUUCACCGCCUCAAUCCCCGGCAUGUAUCUGUUCUCGUUUCAAUACUGUAAUCAAUAUAAGCAAAAUGUUUAUUUUGAAAUCGUUCACCAAAGCAAGACAAUACAAAGGUCCUCAUACUAUGAAAACAGUGGACAUUAUCCGUGUGUUACUAUGCAGGCAUCUACAUUUGUUGCCAUGGCAGAAGAGGUCUUGGUGCGUGCCUUUUCUACAAUCUUUUUGUCUGCAGAUUCAUACAGAUAUUAUUCAUUUUCAGGCACAUUGAUUCAUGUUUAAGAAACAGAUAUGGGACAUAACAUGAAUUCUUGUCGGCGAUAUAAAUAUAAAAAAUUGACAAACAAUGUAUACAGUAAUACAUAUUAUUUUAUCAUAAACGUGUACAUAAAUGUAAUAUUGUAACAGCAGAUGUCGUCAGUUUUAUUUUAUUAUCACUGAACAAUUCAAUAAGAAGUUAAUCGUGUUUAAUGUUUAUAUUUCAAUAACUUUUAUUUCGUCGCUGAUAUAGUGUUAUUUUGACAAGAACAGAAAUCGCAUAUCUUCCGAACAUCGAUUACAUGACGGAGAAAUGAAGCAAUUUUAAUUCAUCUACUCGAUGUUUAAAACAUGAAGUCGUUAUCCGUGUUCCUGCAUAAAGUCUUUUUUCAUGUGUCUGUUUAGUUACCAAGUUUAGUUUGCAUGUAUAUGUGGCAAAAAUCUAGUGUAUAUAUUGGAAUUGGAAUUUUUAUCUCUUAGCGUUAAACAUAAUGUAAAUAAAUAUUUGAAAAAAAUG
Dreissena polymorpha is the source of this 1003-nucleotide long non-coding RNA. RefSeq lists it as uncharacterized. The transcript is spliced from 2 exons. The record is from RefSeq and is a predicted model, not a curated record. Lineage: Eukaryota; Metazoa; Mollusca; Bivalvia; Myida; Dreissenidae.